CCCCAGGGAUGCGUAGAGCUGAGGGACCGAGCCCUUUGAAGCUCCGGCAACCGCCGCCCACAGGCAUGGUGCCAAGUCUCGGCAGGCCGCACGGCCUGGAAGACGGGGG
Molecule: non-coding RNA, 109 nt
Filed under: Olsenella uli
Lineage: Bacteria; Bacillati; Actinomycetota; Coriobacteriia; Coriobacteriales; Atopobiaceae
Also listed under: 1 other name
Description: SAM-I sequence
Rfam family: SAM riboswitch aptamer (S box leader) (bases 10-107)
About the family: The SAM riboswitch is found upstream of a number of genes which code for proteins involved in methionine or cysteine biosynthesis in Gram-positive bacteria. The SAM riboswitch acts at the level of transcription termination control. The predicted structure consists of a complex stem-loop region followed by a single stem loop terminator region.
Source: RNAcentral